Molecule: ribosomal RNA, 468 nt
Filed under: uncultured bacterium
Lineage: Bacteria
Description: partial 16S ribosomal RNA
Rfam family: Bacterial small subunit ribosomal RNA
Source: RNAcentral
GAUGAACGCUGGCGGCGUGCUUAACACAUGCAAGUCGAACGGUGAAGGCGGAGCUUGCUCUGCUGGAUCAGUGGCGAACGGGUGAGUAACACGUGAGCAAUCUGCCCCUGACUCUGGGAUAAGCGCUGGAAACGGCGUCUAAUACUGGAUACGAGCUGCGAAGGCAUCUUCAGCAGCUGGAAAGAAUUUCGGUCAGGGAUGAGCUCGCGGCCUAUCAGCUUGUUGGUGAGGUAAUGGCUCACCAAGGCGUCGACGGGUAGCCGGCCUGAGAGGGUGACCGGCCACACUGGGACUGAGACACGGCCCAGACUCCUACGGGAGGCAGCAGUGGGGAAUAUUGCACAAUGGGCGAAAGCCUGAUGCAGCAACGCCGCGUGAGGGACGACGGCCUUCGGGUUGAAAACCUCUUUUAGCAGGGAAGAAGCGAAAGUGACGGUACCUGCAGAAAAAGCGCCGGCUAACUACGUG